GUCCAUGGCGGUAACAGAUCAAUGCCGCCUCCUUCAAUUUUUAUCAUCUAUAACAGCUAUUUUUAUUUCCAUGUGCCUGAAUUCUUUAUUUAUCUGUAAAUUUUUACAAAAUUGAGUGGCGAGAACAUUAUUUACUGGGCUGUAGCUAACUUGAACUAUAAGAAAAGUUAUAUUUUAUGUACAAUUUUAUUUAUUUUACACAUUUUGAUGUAAUUCACUGAAUGCCUCAAUAACAAGUCAUGCCGAGGUAGUGUUGUAUAAUCUCACGUUGACCUGAGUGUUGGUCCCACAGAAAGAAAAUCUUUCUACCUGGAGAUAUGGGUGGUACUUGACCAAGGAAAAAGAGAAGGAUAACAGUGAAGAUCAUGAGGCAACGAAGAAGGAAAGAGAUAAAGUAUUAAGUUGUAAGAUUUUUUUAAAUUUUAAAAUAAAAAAAAGAGCAUCGAUCCCUCAGAAACUGCUCAGCAAUCCCACUGGCCUGGAGGUGGAUGAGAGCGACUGGCUUUCUAACCCCAAACUUUUACCGAGAUGAAAGUAUCGU
This is a long non-coding RNA of Chinchilla lanigera (long-tailed chinchilla), 541 nucleotides long. RefSeq lists it as uncharacterized. NCBI's taxonomy places the organism in Eukaryota, Metazoa, Chordata, Mammalia, Rodentia, Chinchillidae. The transcript has 3 exons. The record is from RefSeq and is a predicted model, not a curated record.